ACGAAGGGGGUAAGAUAAGUGGCCGACGCAAGCAGUCCAGGGCUAUCCCAGAUAAGGGCGGAUGACAGGCAAACUAUACAGCAGACAACGAACAAGCUAAUCUCAAGCUUCGAGCGAUCGUAAUGUCGCAGUCUGCAGCUACGCCCUAGAUCGUAUUAACUAGCUCUCAAACACAGCCCAGCUACAUAUGCCCACGGCACCAAGCCGUGCUCACCGUUGGCGACGAUGUAGUCGACCUGGGCGGCGAUCUGCUCGUCGGUCAGAGGAGGCAGGUAGGAGAAGGUCUCGAACAUCCUGCGAUCACGCGAUUGACCAGUACUCGUUAGAAGUGGCAGAGCACGUGCGAUGUGAGGCAGCAGGCUGGGCCCCAAGCAAUUGCGUCGCGACUUGCAGAAUCCCUAUCCUUCGGGCUGCGCUUGCUCGUCGACUCACUUGUUGUUGACCGGGGUCCAGACCAUCAUCUGGUUGGCCUGAGCCGGGGCAGCCACGGGGGCAGCCUUGACGGCGGGCUUCAGCGCGGCCAUGGGGCGCACGCUGGAGCGGGCCGGGCGAGCCACGGCCGCGGAGACGGAGGACUUGGCAAUGACGGCGGCCAUUUUAGAUGUUUGAGAAAGUGGUCGAAUGAACGAGUAAGUUCUUGGGACAAAGACUCGGAGGUGGCCGGUCGCCGUUUUCAAUCCCCGCUCGCCGAUGACCCGUACGGCAGGCUUAUCCGACUCGUCGGCUUUCACGACCGCCCGAGCCUGCGCGCUUCAUCCGCUUCCGGAUAGCUUGCUACGAUAAUGCAUUAUUCAAUUUUACGACGCAAUGUCAUGAGCAGCGCCGGGCGGGCUUAUUUACAUGCGUCGCCUCGCUCGCCGUUGACUUGAUACUUUGGAAAUUCGGGCUCGAUUCGUUGCUACAGCCUGCCUUUUGCACACAAUGUGAACGUCGAUUCUACAUUUGUAUGUGACUGAACUUCGCGGCCCCUACUGAACGUUUCGUGCAAGCGACAUGUCGACUCACAACUUGGAGGAACGCGCGAGGGGUCCCCACACGCACUUUCAGCCUGCUUUGGCGAAAUGGACAUGAUAGGUAUAGCCAGGAUAUGGGUCUGCUAGCUCGCCUGGUGUUUUGACCGUCGAUCGGUUUCGCGUUGGGCCUUGCGGCUGCUCGCUCGCCGCGGAUGCUUCCGCACACUGCGCGGCACGUGUUAGUCUGUGCACGACGACGGUUUGUUUGUAUUGCGCCGCCAACGUUCAACGGUGGUGGUAGGUUCGAAUGUCAGAAUGUCGGGCACGGGGACCUUGGGCGCAUUGCCUACAAGCGCGUGCCUGUGUUUUUGGGGGGCAGAGAAGUGAGCCUGCCUAUUGGGUCACAAUAGCACAGAGGCGGGUGGCCAGCGUCGGGAACUGGUUCAGAACGGCUGCAGGGACAGCACCGUGCGUGCGUGUGUGUGUGGGGGGAGCCUUCAAAGUUGACGAGCUUCGCAGCGCUGGGAUGGACUGGCAUUGCGUGCUUGAGUUUGCGUCCCGUGAGAACCCUGCAGUUUAUGGCGGAGACAGGGAAGAGGGAAUGGGAUCGCGCCGGUGCAGGGAAAGGGCACGAAUCUGAGGUUACGGUAUCUGGGGGGAGGUGCCCAUGUGGGAGGGGAAGCCUAACUGCCUGUCUGGGUGCAGACCAGGAAUGGCAACACGUGAACGGUUAGUAGAGAGCUGUGUGCUGUUGGGCGCUCUCGGCAAGGGGCGUGGGAGGGGGCUGGGUUGGUGGGCGGCUGUCCGCACAGUGCCUAGCAGUGCGCACUCAGGCCCUUCGCAGACCGAAGAGGGCGCCAGGGCCUAUGCGCGCGUGGCUUGGCGUGAGGUUCUUGCUGUUGGCGUCAGGCGCCGCAAAAGGCCGGGUGGCUCUGCAGUGUCCUGCUCGCUUGGCGUGCGGCAAAGUGGUUCAGUCAGCGAGCGCAGUGUAUGCGUGUGUGCGUGUAUGCGUGUGCGUGCGUGUGUGUGUGUGUGUGUGUGUGUGUGUGUGUGUGUGUGUGGUUGCUGCGGAGAGGGCACGCAGCGACACGAGAUUGCCAUGCAGUGGUGCAAGCUGCUGGGGUCGGGUAAACGGGGUGGGAAAGUUGGUGAUGGUGGAAUGUUCUUGUGGCACGAACUGGCCUUGUGCGUAUUCGUUCGCCCCGUUCACUCUGGUCCACCAAUCCCACAGUCACUGCACUUAAAUGCCUAAAAGCCCCUGCUACGGUGCGGACAGGGUAAGGCCACGGCAGGUCUAAGUCCAUAUGCGCCCGUAGAGGUUCGAGUGCGUUAACCGGUCGCAAGGUGUUCACAACAUGUUGAUGUGUUGACAACAUGGCUGUGGUCAAGACGUGCCCUGCGAACUUCCCGUGUUUACAUGUUAAUAGAGCUCGCUGACAGCAGUCAUUUGACACCAUUAUGGAAGAAAACAGAGGGGAUUUAGGGGGUGUACGGCACGGUAUGGCACGGUCGGUCGUCGGUCCGGGGGGUCGGGGGGUUCUGCAGGGUGGGGCCUGGAACUAUUGUUCGUACACCCCCGCCUGGCUCCCCUGCUCCCCCUGACUAACCCCUGACCUCUGGCUUUCUUCGCUUUCCUUUCAGUGUCACCAAUUCUCAUGAGUGGGGGCGCACCCCGAAAUAAGCGGGUACGGUGCUUCAGUUCAGUGCUUGCCACGGCCUCAAGAGCCCCAAACCACGUGCACCGAAAUUCGCUUGCACUCCAAAUGCACUGGGAAGCCAGUAGCAGCGCGCUCUCAAAUGCUGGCAUGUGUCUCUCUCUGUCCAGAGCCUGAAUGCGCCAAGUCUGCUACGGUAGGAGGGUGCAACCCGUGGCCCGCCUUGAACCGCGCUUGCACACACAGCUGGAUUGCUGCUGGCAUGACCGUGUGAAAGAGGUACAGGCAGCCGGGCAAGUCCCAGCGGGCAGGUUGGUGUAGGCUAUGCCCCAUAACAGGCCCGUGCAUGCUGCCACGGACUUCUCGCCAGGAAUGUAAGUCCCGAUGCUAGACAAUUACUCCAGCAGCUGCAUGCCGCCAUCUUCAGUACUCGGUAUCCCUUGGUGCACGCAAGUCAAGGAUCAGUCCCAGGGCUCACCCUGGAGCAAUGCAGCCUGCGUGUGCACCUGCGAUGGAGCCGCGGCCUGCGGUAUUGGCUGCCCGAUUACGAAGCUGCGGGUGGGGGCAGUUGGCACGCAUUCCGCCACAGACCCCGCGAGCCUAGCCGCACCCAAGCUCUAAGCGGCCUAGACCGUGACCAAAGGCGAAGAAGCCGCGGCCAUCCCUGCGCUCAGAUUGCAUUGGUUACAAGAGGGACCUGCUGACGCAGUUCAUGGCUUCAUGCGCUCAGAGCCCGAGCCCUGAGCGGCAGCAAAAGCAGAAGCCACGCUACGUGUGCUAGCUACGACCAAUGCCUUGUACAGCUCUCCUCGGCUGCGCUCUUCGGCUGCGCUCCUCGGCUGCGCGGGACAGGGGACUCCGUGCAACCACUAUUGCUUAUAGCCUGCACCAGUCAUUGACGAGUGUUGCGGAACUAAUGCGUACGUAGACCAGAGCGGAAGGCGGAGUGGGCUUGCAGGCGGCACGAGAGUAGGCAGUCAGUAGCGCAAGUUGCGAAUUCCCAUGUUACCUCGUAACCGACGGUAAACGCUGUGGACGGUCGCGCCCAUGGCUGGCUGACGGAAGCUGGCUGCGGUAUUGGGAUGGCUGGGCUGGAUGACGCCGGCCGGGCUGGCGUUGGGACUACCAGAAAGGAUGCGCCCGAAACCAACCUGGAGAACACCAGCGCCACCGGUGCCCAGCACGACAUGUAAGGGAGGGAGGGAGGGACAGGAGGCGUGAUGCACUGCAGCGUAGAAGCUGCAGUCAUGGGCACAGCUUGUACCAUACAGCACGGUCAUCAAGGACACAAUGCCGGAACGGCAUCAUACGAGGCGGGGUUGGGAGCUGCAGGAAGUGGGCAGCGGGGCAGAAUCAAAGGUUUGCAUCGUUUAGAACAGGUGCGGAACACGCGCCAGCGCCAGCGCGGAGGACCCCAAGUAAGGCCUUUACUCACCAAUGUACGUUUUGUACACCCAAUCUCGCCCCCUAUCGACGUUGGCACUAGGUAGCUGGCUAUCAUUCUAUGCAGAUUAAGCAAAGGGGCACCGGGAACAACUGACUCAUGUUCGUCACUGCAGGUUACUGCAAAUGCUGUCUCCACCUUUGCUGCACGGUUCCGUUUCGUCACGUUUGCUGGUGUUGCUACCCGCCGUUCUUUAGUGUGUAACUGAUCUGCGAACCGAGUCCCCUUCAGCUGAUGAACCCCGCAGCAACUUUUCCAAAAGCGCUUCAAAUACGCCCAGCCCGCCCAUGGAGAAAGAGGCCAAAAUCAACGGAGGAUCGUUACAACCAACAAAAUUGCAAAACUCCUCCGCUUUUUACGUGUUGAAAAAGACUGAUCAGCACGAAACGGGGAGCUAAGCUACCGCUUCAGCACUUGAGAGCAGUAUCUUCCAUCCACCGCCGUUCGUCAGGGGGCAAGGCUCAGAUCAACGAGCGCCUCCAUUUACACGGAGCGCUUGUUGGCGGGCUGCCAGUCGCGGGCAGACUUGGGGCGCUGGACCAGGAAGCCCAUGAUCUGCACCUGCUUCUGGUUGUCGAAGGCCACCAGGCGCACGUAGGCAUCGGGGAAGGCCUUGGUGCAGGCGACGAUCUCGCGCAGCACCUGCAUGGGGUCGCGGCAGCCGAACAUGGGCAGCUUCCACAUGGUCCAGUAGCGGUUGUCGUAGUACAGCUGCGGGCGCACGGGAAAUGGGAGGGAGAAGAGGUUCAGUCACCAGCGCACAGAACCACCAAAGAUGGAAUUGGGCCCCUUGCUUUUCCGUGCUGAAGCACGAGCAGGGGUAUGCGUCAGUUCCCCGCGGUGAGAUAGGCGCUGUCCCGGUGCCAAGCUAACCAGUGCCACAGUGGACCCGUGUGCCAAAAGCUAACCCAGUGCCACAGUGGACCCGUCGGGCUCUCGCCAGACUUACGCAAG
This 5006-nucleotide long non-coding RNA is filed under the name Chlamydomonas reinhardtii. Its description in RNAcentral is "long non-coding RNA (CREI_LNC000175)". Lineage: Eukaryota; Viridiplantae; Chlorophyta; Chlorophyceae; Chlamydomonadales; Chlamydomonadaceae. The record is from RNAcentral.